This is a long non-coding RNA of Xenopus laevis (African clawed frog), 2521 nucleotides long. RefSeq lists it as uncharacterized. The transcript is spliced from 2 exons. NCBI's taxonomy places the organism in Eukaryota, Metazoa, Chordata, Amphibia, Anura, Pipidae. The record is from RefSeq and is a predicted model, not a curated record.
UGCCAAACAACCAUCUAAGAUAUCCAAAUAUACUUAUAUCUCCAACUAUUUCUUGAUAUUGAGAAUAAAAGUUGUUUGUGCCACUCAGGUAGGACUUGCUGGUUGAAAGUAAUGCUAGUCAGCAACUUGAUGGAAUCCUGUUAAGGACAAACUUCCUAAUUUCUCCUUUGCUAAGUAUAUAUGCAUAUAUGUGAUUGGAUGGAUGGAAGAACAGGGAAGUGAUACAAACAGAUCACACAUUGAUCAGGCCACUUACAAGGACAGUCCUGGUACUGCCCCCUGGUGUUUAACUCUCUUGUAUCAGGGAUUUCCAUGUUGCCUCAUGUUCCUGUAUGGCUGACCUGUCUGUGCCCAUCAAACUAAUUGCUGCUUGUUAUAAUUUAUGCAAACUGUGCUCAUAAAGUCACAUUUAAGUGACUCACCUAUGAGACUUCAAUAAAUGCAAUGGACAAACAUUGUGAGGUAGAAUUUUAAAUUUUAUGAUGUAAAACUGAAAAAAACAAGAUAAAAAUUUGACAUUCCGAGUUUUAAUGAGCAGGACUUCACCUGCUGUAUCAGUCAGUAUCUGUAUUGUGUAUGUUUCAUAAACACGCCCUUCUGUUGUACAGCGCUCCAGCAUAUGUUGGCGCUUUAUAAACACUGCAAAAAAAAUGAAGGCUUGAAGGCGUAGCCGUCCUUAUAAAGACGUCAAUGUCUCAAUCAUAUCGCGUUUUCUUCCAGGUUCCUUCCCGGCUUCCAUACAGUCCGUGACGUCUCCCCACGCUGUGCUGUGAUUGGCUGAUUUCAAUAGUCCCGGGCUACUUGUAUUGAGAGAGCAGCGCCAGCUGUAGUAGAAGGGAUAGUGAUAGAGGCGCAUUGAGAAGCGGCGGGAGUGGGAGGCUUUAGAUCAAUAUACCGGCAUACAAGAGGGAAGGGGUCUAAGGCCGAGCUGCAGACGCAGAUUGUCAGCCAUAGUGAGGAUACCGAUCAGGAGGGAAGAAGAAAACGGAAGGACUGGCGCCCAUAGGAGAGUGCACAGUUGCACGUCUCCUGCUCUCCCUAGGGGGUGUAAGUAAAAGAAGAUGGGUUACUGUCUGCCUGCUGCAGCUCUGCUUUAGAUCCCUUCCCUCUUGUAUGCCGGUAUAUAAGUUUAAAGCCUCCCACUCCUGUCGCUUCUCAAUGCACCUCUACAGAAAUCCCUUCCACCACAAUAGCAGCAGCUACUGCUGCUUUCUUAAUUGAAGUAGCCCGCUACUAUUGAAAUCAUCCAAUCACAGGACAGCGCGGGGAGACGUCAGGACUGUAUGGAAGCCGGGAAGAAAACGCGAUAUAAUUGAGACAGUGACGUCUUUAUAAGGACGACUAUGCUUUCAAACCUUGAAUUUUUUUUUUAAAAAAUUAAAACUUGGGAUUUAAACUCGUUUUAUCGUUUUUUUUUUUUUAGACAAAAUUAGAAUUUAUACCUUGCAAUGUUUCUCCAUUGCAUUUAUGGAAGUCUCAUAGGUGACUCACUUAAAUGUGACUUUAUGAGCACAGUAUACAUAACACCAGGGGGCAGUACCAGGACUGUCUUUUUAAGUGGCCUGAUCAAUGUGUGAUCUGUUUGUAUCACUUCCCUGUUCUUCCACCCAACCACAUUUUCUAAAAGUGUGAGCUCUAUACACACACACACCCCCCCUCCAACGAUGCCCUAGUAGCUCCCUGUAUUUUCUGCCGGUUCACUGCUCAUGCUGCUGUAACUUACUGAGCUUAGGGACUGACUCACAAUAUACUGUAUAUACAGAAUACAAAUGUCACAGUAUCAGGCUAAUCAUUAAUUAAUACAAAUAUUUACUACACAGCAGCUUAGAAACUAGUAGGAAAAAUCCCAACUCCAAAAUUUAAAUCUUACUAAAUCUGCCCUUUACUAUCCUUAUAUGUCACCAUAUGAGGUACAUCACUAAGCCCAGAUUAUAUGCGUAUAUACGGAUAUAUUUUUUAAAAUUUUCACAAUCUUUGUGUUAUAUGAAGAUGAUCUGUCUGUAUAAAAGCCCCUCUCUGUCUGGAAGUUCUUAAUUUAUUCCGGAAGCACAAGAGAAUGAUCUACAUCUGAAUGAACAUAAUUGUGCUAGUAACAUUUAACACUUUCUGGACUAUUUGUUAUAAUUGCAUUCUGCAGCGGGAUUUCUAUGUACCUUCAAGUAGGUCUGGACUAGGAGUCAGAAUAGGUCCUGGCAUUUCAGGUACACAAGCCCAAACAACCCCCACCUGCCCACUAAAUAGCAACUUUCUAUGGAGUUUUACACCCGCUGAGUAUUCCCGGAUCCCAUUAGGAGGAGGCACUGCCAAGAGAGGAACUUCCCAGUACCAUUUCACUUUGCAAAGGGGACUCAGGACGUGAGUUGGUAAGACGGUACAAGCUUGGCACCAGGGGGGUUGCCAAGUGGGUGUUACAUAUCACUGAAUGGCUUUGAGUUAAUUAUUGUGCAGGUCCCAAAUUAUACACUAAAACCACUUUUAAACGACAGUAAUAAAAUAUUUUUCUCUAAAAUUAGUUGUGUGC